RNAcentral lists this ribosomal RNA (253 nucleotides) under uncultured bacterium. RNAcentral's name for it is "partial 16S ribosomal RNA". It matches the Rfam family "Bacterial small subunit ribosomal RNA", at positions 524 to 776 of the family's 1533-position model. The record is from RNAcentral.
UACGGAGGGUGCAAGCAUUGAUCGGAAUUACUGGGCGUAAAGGGCGCGUAGGCGGUCUGAAAAGUCAGAUGUGAAAUUCCGGGGCUCAACCCCGGAGCUGCAUCCGAAACUUUCGGACUUGAGGUUGGCAAGGGAAAACGGAAUUCCACGUGUAGCGGUGAAAUGCGUAGAUAUGUGGAAGAACACCGGUGGUGAAGACGGUUUUCUGUGCUAAACCUGACGCUGAGGCGCGAAAGCUAGGGGAGCAAACAGG